Molecule: ribosomal RNA, 734 nt
Filed under: Streptomyces sp. 8CM7
Lineage: Bacteria; Bacillati; Actinomycetota; Actinomycetes; Kitasatosporales; Streptomycetaceae
Description: bacterial SSU rRNA
Rfam family: Bacterial small subunit ribosomal RNA
Source: RNAcentral
CGUGGGCAAUCUGCCCUGCACUCUGGGACAAGCCCUGGAAACGGGGUCUAAUACCGGAUACUGAUCCUCGCAGGCAUCUGCGAGGUUCGAAAGCUCCGGCGGUGCAGGAUGAGCCCGCGGCCUAUCAGCUAGUUGGUGAGGUAACGGCUCACCAAGGCGACGACGGGUAGCCGGCCUGAGAGGGCGACCGGCCACACUGGGACUGAGACACGGCCCAGACUCCUACGGGAGGCAGCAGUGGGGAAUAUUGCACAAUGGGCGAAAGCCUGAUGCAGCGACGCCGCGUGAGGGAUGACGGCCUUCGGGUUGUAAACCUCUUUCAGCAGGGAAGAAGCGAAAGUGACGGUACCUGCAGAAGAAGCGCCGGCUAACUACGUGCCAGCAGCCGCGGUAAUACGUAGGGCGCAAGCGUUGUCCGGAAUUAUUGGGCGUAAAGAGCUCGUAGGCGGCUUGUCACGUCGGUUGUGAAAGCCCGGGGCUUAACCCCGGGUCUGCAGUCGAUACGGGCAGGCUAGAGUUCGGUAGGGGAGAUCGGAAUUCCUGGUGUAGCGGUGAAAUGCGCAGAUAUCAGGAGGAACACCGGUGGCGAAGGCGGAUCUCUGGGCCGAUACUGACGCUGAGGAGCGAAAGCGUGGGGAGCGAACAGGAUUAGAUACCCUGGUAGUCCACGCCGUAAACGGUGGGCACUAGGUGUGGGCAACAUUCCACGUUGUCCGUGCCGCAGCUAACGCAUU